Long non-coding RNA from Cyprinus carpio (common carp), 146 nucleotides. RefSeq lists it as uncharacterized. The transcript has 3 exons. The record is from RefSeq and is a predicted model, not a curated record. Lineage: Eukaryota; Metazoa; Chordata; Actinopteri; Cypriniformes; Cyprinidae.
CCUGUGUGCGAGGCUAAGGAGCACAUGUAUUAUUGAGCUCUCCCCGUAAUUGACUCUGUGUGCCAGAGAGGGAGAAGCGGUCGCCUUUUGAUCCACUGAUUAUUUCUCCUUAUUACAGACCAAGUAAAGGAAAGUGCUAAAUCUCA